RNAcentral lists this unclassified non-coding RNA (240 nucleotides) under uncultured fungus. RNAcentral's name for it is "sequence contains ITS1". The record is from RNAcentral. Lineage: Eukaryota; Fungi.
GUAUAUAACUUUAUGGGCAUCAAAGACCCAGAUCAACAUUCUAUUACAUUCAUAGGAGUAUGUGAGUAACAUAGAACCUAGAGAGGCCCGCACAGCAGUCUUCUCUAAGGUCUACAAAAAGGUGCACAGGUGGAAAUAGAUAAAUAAAUGACAAGCGUGCACACUACCCAAGAAGGGCCAGCAACAGCCUAUCAAAUGUUUAUUUCAAUAAUGAUCCUUCCGCAGGUUCACCUACGGAAA